RNAcentral lists this long non-coding RNA (3398 nucleotides) under Homo sapiens (human). RNAcentral describes it as "HSALNT0194578". The record is from RNAcentral. Lineage: Eukaryota; Metazoa; Chordata; Mammalia; Primates; Hominidae.
GAAAAGACUCAGAAUGGAUGGAAGUUGUUUAUAAAUUCUCCUCUGCUGCAUACUGUUAAGAAGGGGAAAGAGGAGUGCUGGACUCACCCUGAAUUCUUUCUUACGCGAGAUCCAAGAAUUGUCUCUUGGGGUCUGUGCUGGGACUGCUUUCCUGUAACAUAUUUCUGGCGUCCACAGAAGGGACUAUAGUGAGGAAACCACUGACUUUGGGUAAGUGGUGGGGUCCUGUAACAUAUUCACAAGUUCUUUGAUACUCCUUCCUUCAAAAGGUGAAGCUCUCCCUUUCAUAAAACAUGGGCUGAACUUAGGGACUUGCUUUAAAUUAAUAGAAUGAUGGUAUGUGAUGUCUGAGGCUGAUCAUAAAAGGAUAGUUUCUGCUAGAUGUUUUCUGUCUUUUAAAAAAAUAUUUAAAUAUUGAUUUGUUUAUUAUUUUCAGUCCAAAUCUGUUUCAGCCUAUGUUCUGUCUCUCAGAUCACUCCCUGCAGGUGAAGCCAACUGCCAUGUUGUGCAGAGGCUCCAGCCUCCCGUGGAGAGGCCCACACGGAGAGGAUCUGCCAUCGCCAGCAGGAGCUUUCCAGCCAUGUGAGUGACUUCUUCUGGAAAUGGAUUCUCCAGCCCCAGUUAACAGCAUUCCGAUUGUUAACCAAAAAGUGACUGAGGCCAUUAGAGGUUUAUUUAGCCAAGGUUGAGGAUGCACCCUGGACAAACAGAAAUCGGAGGAGCAUCUGUGAUCUCUGCUUUUCUCCAAAGGGGGCUUUGUGUGCACUUUGGUUUUUAAAGGAGAAAGAGCAAGGAGUGGGAGGCAGGAGAGGAAGGGAGGGAGAUAUGCAGUGAGGUAGAUGGUUACAUUCUUGUGAAGCCCUGAUUAGUCUCAAUAAAUCCAAAUUUUAGGCGGGGCACAGUGGCUCAUACCUGUAAUCCCAGCACUUUGGGAGGCUGAGGCAGGUGGAUCACUUGAGGCUGGGAGUUCCAGACCAGCCUGGCCAACAUGGCAAAACCCUGUCUUUACUAAAAAUACAAAACUUAUCUGGUGUGUAGCUGUAAUCCCAGCUACUCAGGAUGCUGAGGCAGGAGAAUCGCUUGAACCUUGGAGGUGGAGGUUGCAGUGGGCCAAGAUUGUGUCAUUGCACUACAGCCUGGGCAACAGAACAAGACUCUGUUUCAAAAAAAUCAGUCAAUCAAUCAAUCAACAUUAUACAUGUGAAAAGAGGGAGUAGAGGAAAAAGUCAAUUAUGUAUUAUCUCCCUCUCAGUAAAUCUACAUUUUACAUAAGAUAAACAUGAAAAGAGGGAGUAGAGGAAAUGAGCUCAUGGUUUGGGUUGUGAAAUUCCAGCUGUCUGUUUGGGAACAAAAGGAAGACAGUAUUGGUGGCUCAAUUCCCAAGCUUAACUUUCCCUUUGGCAUAGUGAGUUUGGGGUCGCAUAAUUCUAUUUUUUUUUUUCAUAAGAUGAUUUCUGGCAUGGGAGACACUGAACCAUAACCACCCAGCUAAGCUGCCCCUGGAUUCCUGACCUGCAAGACAUGAAGUGAGAUAACAAAUGGUGUUGUUGUAAACCUUACCAUUUCUGGGUAAUUCAUUGUGCAGCAGUAGAUAACUGAUACCAGACCCUUCACUGAGUCUUUUGGGCUUGAAAUGGAGAGAGUCAGGCUAAUUUGGGAUCUGGGAUCUCUUGGCAGACAUUAUUUCCUAUCAUAAAGAUCAGAAUGCCAGAAGAAGCCAGUUUCCAAGCAAGAGAGGGCAAAAUGAGAGAGGGAGAGUGGGAGAGAGAAAGAGAGAAGAGAAUAGAGAGAGAGAAGACUGGGGUGUGUGUGUUAUUUCUACCUUUUUUUGGGUGACAAAACCCAGAUUUACCUUUGCAGGGAUGACUCUUUUCCCACUCUGUGUUCAUUUGGUUCGAUAGAUCUGGCUGCACGCCCUCGCUUCCUGGGUGAUUAUGUAAUUUACAUAGUUUUAGCACCAAUAUGAAGUAGUUUCUGAAGCUAGCCUCCGGGGUUUUCAGUUAUCUGAGCCAGUAUUUCCUCCCUACUUUUUUUUUUGCUAAACUUGGUUUGACUUGAGUCUCACAAGUGAAAGCGACUUCAUUGAAACAGGAGCAGAGAGAAGCAGCAGAUAGAGAUUAAGAAAUUUCUUGAGAAUGUACAAAUUCCUGGAUCCAGCUGUUCCCAAAACCCAGGCAAAUCCUGCCUUCAAUAACAACAGCCGGACAGCAGCAACAGCAAACAUUUAUUGAAUACUUAUAAUGAAUUCCACCUUUGGCUAAUUUAGUUUCUCCCAUUCGCAAUCAAGAAAGUCUUGAAGAAUACAAUAUCCAUUGCAAAAAUAUCUGGAAAGGGAGAUAAUGUGCCAAGGGAAGCAAAAUAAAUCAAGGUUUACAAAAAGACAAAAGUGAAAGAUCACGCAAGACCAUAACUGUGUCAUGUGUAAAUUUCACCUAGGCCUUCUCUGUAUUUAGGGCACCCUGUGACAGGGACCUCAGCCCCAUAGGGAGAUCUCAAUGGAUUAGAUGCUAAGCUGAUGCAGGCUUGGGGAGUUGCCAGAGAAACCUAAGCAAGGCAUACAUCUAAAAGCUUUCUGAAUAGUUAAAAUUAGGUCCUAAAUCUAUCUUCUUAUUAAGAAUGACAGGGAUGGGCCGGGUGUGGUGGCUCACACCUAUAAUCCCAGCACUUUGGGAGGCUGAGGCAGGCGGAUCACUUGAGAUCAGGAGUUCAAGACCAGCCUGGUCAACAUAGAGAAACCCCAUCUCUACUAAAAAUACAAAAAAUUAGCGGGGCGUGGUGGCACAUGCCUGUAAUCCCAGUUACUUGGGAGGCUGAGGCAGGAGAAUCACUUGAAUCUGGGAGGCAGAGGUUACACGGAGCCAAGUUUGUGCUAUUGCACUCCAGCCUGGGCGACAGAGUGAGACUCCACCUCAAAAAAAAAAAAAAAAAAAAAAAAGAAUGUUAGGGAUGGAAGAUGGUGUUGGAAGGGGGAUGUUUUUAAAUUGAGAAACCAUAUUCCUUAUGUAUUCUUUUUUUUUUCUCUUAGGUUUUUUCCUUUUUUGCAUAGAAUACGAAGUUCAAGUUCUGUUGUUGUUGUCUUUGUUGUUGUUUUGAGACGGAAUUUCACUCUUGUUGCCCAGGUUGGAGUGCAAUGGUGUGAUCUUGGCUCACUGCAACCUCUGCCUCCCAGGUUCAAGUGAUUCUCCUGCUUCAGCCUCCCAAGUAACUGGGAUUACAGGCAUGCACCACCACGCCCAGCUAAUUUUUUGUAAUUUUUUUUUUUUUUUUUUUUUUUUUUUUUAGUAGAGAUGGUGUUUCUCCAUGUUGAUCAGGCUGAUCUUGAACUCCUGGCCUCAGGUGAUUUGCCUGCCUCGGCCUCCCAAAGUGGCGGGAUUACAGGCGUGAGCCACUGUGCUUGG